RNAcentral lists this ribosomal RNA (56 nucleotides) under Chaetosphaeria metallicans. RNAcentral's name for it is "partial 28S large subunit ribosomal RNA". The record is from RNAcentral. Lineage: Eukaryota; Fungi; Ascomycota; Sordariomycetes; Chaetosphaeriales; Chaetosphaeriaceae. RNAcentral also lists the same sequence under 1 other name.
UUGACCUCGGAUCAGGUAGGAAUACCCGCUGAACUUAAGCAUAUCAAUAAGCGGAA